GAUGAAGAACGUAGCGAAAUGCGAUAAGUAAUGUGAAUUGCAGAAUUCAGUGAAUCAUCGAAUCUUUGAACGCACCUUGCGCCCUUUGGACAUUCCGAAGGGCAUGCCUGUUUGAGUAUCAUGAACACCUCAACUCUCACGGCUUGUCCGUGAUGAGCUUGGACUUUGGGGGUCUUGCCGGCCUGUGGUCGGCUCCUCUCAAAUGGAUCAGCUUGCCAGUGUUUGGUGGCAUCACAGGUGUGAUAACUAUCUGCGCUUGUGGUUUUCCAUCAGAUAACCUUCAGUGAUAUGGAGGUUCGCUGGAGCUCACAAAUGUCUCUCCUUAGUGAGGACAGCUCUUUGAACGUUUGAUCUCAAAUCAGGUAGGACUACCCACUGAACUUAAGCAUAUCAAUAAGCGGAGGA
RNAcentral lists this unclassified non-coding RNA (405 nucleotides) under soil metagenome. Its description in RNAcentral is "partial contains 5.8S ribosomal RNA, internal transcribed spacer 2, and large subunit ribosomal RNA". The stretch from base 1 to 121 matches the Rfam family "5.8S ribosomal RNA", at positions 35 to 154 of the family's 154-position model. The record is from RNAcentral.